CCUACGGGCGGCAGCAGUAGGGAAUCUUCCACAAUGGGCGAAAGCCUGAUGGAGCAACGCCGCGUGGGUGAAGAAGGUCUUCGGAUCGUAAAACUCUGUUGUUAGAGAAGAAAGUUCGUGAGAGUAACUGGUCACGUUUCGACGGUAUCUAACCAGAAAGCCACGGCUAACUACGUGCCAGUAGCCGCGGUAAUACGUAGGUGGCAAGCGUUAUCCGGAUUUAUUGGGCGUAAAGGGAACGCAGGCGGUCUGUUAAGUCUGAUGUGAAAGCCUUCGGCUUAACGGGAGUAGUGCAUUGGAAACUGGGAGACUUGAGUGCAGGAGAGGAGAGUGGAACUCCAUGUGUAGCGGUGAAAUGCGUAGAUAUAUGGAAGAACACCAGUGGCGAAGGCGGCUCUCUGGUCUGUAACUGACGCUGAGGUUCGAAAGCGUGGGUAGCAAACAGGAUUAGAUACCCCAGUAGUC
This 465-nucleotide ribosomal RNA is filed under the name uncultured bacterium. Its description in RNAcentral is "partial 16S ribosomal RNA". It matches the Rfam family "Bacterial small subunit ribosomal RNA", at positions 338 to 795 of the family's 1533-position model. The record is from RNAcentral.